Molecule: small RNA, 126 nt
Filed under: Marmota monax (woodchuck)
Lineage: Eukaryota; Metazoa; Chordata; Mammalia; Rodentia; Sciuridae
Source: RNAcentral
GCUGGGCGUGGGGGUGCACACCUGUAAUCCCAGCUGCUCAGGAAGCUGAGGCAGGAGGAUCUCGAGUUCAAAGCCAGCCCCAGCAAAAAACAAGGUGCUAAGCAACUCAGUGAGACCUUGUCUCUA